GCGGCGAUGGCGGAAUUGGUAGACGCGUCAGCUUGAGGGGCUGGUGGGGGCAACCCCGUGGAGGUUCGAGUCCUCUUCGCCGCACCA
RNAcentral lists this transfer RNA (87 nucleotides) under Alphaproteobacteria bacterium. RNAcentral describes it as "tRNA-Leu". It matches the Rfam family "tRNA". From Rfam's summary of the family: Transfer RNA (tRNA) molecules are approximately 80 nucleotides in length. Their secondary structure includes four short double-helical elements and three loops (D, anti-codon, and T loops). RNAcentral also lists the same sequence under 3 other names. The record is from RNAcentral. Lineage: Bacteria; Pseudomonadati; Pseudomonadota; Alphaproteobacteria.